GAUGAACGCUGGCGGCGUGCCUAAUACAUGCAAGUCGAGCGAACAGACGAGGAGCUUGCUCCUCUGACGUUAGCGGCGGACGGGUGAGUAACACGUGGAUAACCUACCUAUAAGACUGGGAUAAUUUCGGGAAACCGGCGCUAAUACCGGAUAAUAUAUUGAACCGCAUGGUUCAAUAGUGAAAGACGGUUUUGCUGUCACUUAUAGAUGGAUCCGCGCCGCAUUAGCUAGUUGGUAAGGUAACGGCUUACCAAGGCAACGAUGCGUAGCCGACCUGAGAGGGUGAUCGGCCACACUGGAACUGAGACACGGUCAAGACUCCUACGGGAGGCAGCAGUAGGGAAUCUUCCGCAAUGGGCGAAAGCCUGACGGAGCAACGCCGCGUGAGUGAUGAAGGUCUUCGGAUCGUAAAACUCUGUUAUUAGGGAAGAACAAAUGUGUAAGUAACUAUGCACGUCUUGACGGUACCUAAUCAGAAAGCCACGGCUAACUACGUG
RNAcentral lists this ribosomal RNA (497 nucleotides) under uncultured bacterium. RNAcentral describes it as "partial 16S ribosomal RNA". It matches the Rfam family "Bacterial small subunit ribosomal RNA", at positions 28 to 507 of the family's 1533-position model. The record is from RNAcentral.